GAUGAACGCUAGCGGCAGGCCUAAUACAUGCAAGUCGAACGGGAUCUGAGGGUAGCUUGCUACCCGAUUUGAGAGUGGCGCACGGGUGCGUAACGCGUGAGCAACCUACCCAUAUCAGGGGGAUAGCCCGAAGAAAUUCGGAUUAACACCGCAUAAUAAUACGCUAACACAUGUUAAUGUAUUUAAAUAUUUAUAGGAUAUGGAUGGGCUCGCGUGACAUUAGCUAGUUGGUAAGGUAACGGCUUACCAAGGCGACGAUGUCUAGGGGCUCUGAGAGGAGAAUCCCCCACACUGGUACUGAGACACGGACCAGACUCCUACGGGAGGCAGCAGUAAGGAAUAUUGGUCAAUGGGCGCAAGCCUGAACCAGCCAUGCCGCGUGCAGGAUGACUGCCCUAUGGGUUGUAAACUGCUUUUGUUAGGGAAUAAACCUACUUAUGUAUAAGUAGCUGAAUGUACCUAAAGAAUAAGGAUCGGCUAACUUCGUGCCAGCAGCCGCGGUAA
This 504-nucleotide ribosomal RNA is filed under the name uncultured bacterium. RNAcentral describes it as "partial 16S ribosomal RNA". It matches the Rfam family "Bacterial small subunit ribosomal RNA", at positions 28 to 523 of the family's 1533-position model. The record is from RNAcentral.